Molecule: long non-coding RNA, 302 nt
Filed under: Androctonus crassicauda
Lineage: Eukaryota; Metazoa; Arthropoda; Arachnida; Scorpiones; Buthidae
Source: RNAcentral
AGGCUGUUUUUGAUGGGGUCGGGAACGGGAAAGACAGGAGGAGUGAGACACGGGAAUCUGGAGUUUACCGGAUCCCGGUGGAGCGAAGCGACACGGGUCGGGUGGCAUCAUACAUUGGGGUCGCGAGUGGAACGCUGGACCACAGAGUUGGGGAGCACCGACGGGACGUCGCCCAGGGCGGCACAGGCGCAGCCCUGGCUGGGGCGGCCUGUACGGAUGGCAUGGCAGUCAAAUGGAGUGGGGCAGGGGUCGUAACACCAGUGCUCCGGGGGGCGCAGGCGUUGUUGGAGGAGGGAUUGCAG